GAAGGGACUAGCGUAGUCCGGAAUUACUGGGCUUAAAGAGUUCGUAGGUGGUUGAAAAAGUUGGUGGUGAAAUCCCAGAGCUUAACUCUGGAACUGCCAUCAAAACUUUUCAGCUAGAGUAUGAUAGAGGAAAGCAGAAUUUCUAGUGUAGAGGUGAAAUUCGUAGAUAUUAGAAAGAAUACCAAUUGCGAAGGCAGCUUUCUGGAUCAUUACUGACACUGAGGAACGAAAGCAUGGGUAGCGAAGAGGAUUAGAUACCCUCGUAGUCCAUGCCGUAAACGAUGUGUGUUAGACGUUGGAAAUUUAUUUUCAGUGUCGCAGCGAAAGCGAUAAACACACCGCCUGGGGAGUACGACCGCAAGGUUAAAACUCAAAUGAAUUGACGGGGACCCGCACAAGUAGUGGAGCAUGUGGUUUAAUUCGAAGAUACGCGCAGAACCUUACCAACACUUGACAUGUUCGUCGCGACUUUAAGAGAUUAAAGUUUUCGGUUCGGCCGGACGAAACACAGGUGCUGCAUGGCUGUCGUCAGCUCGUGUCGUGAGAUGUUGGGUUAAGUCCCGCAACGAGCGCAACCCUCACUUUUAGUUGCCAUCAUUUAGUUGGGCCCUCUGAAAGAACUGCCAGUGAUAAGCUGGAGGAAGGUGGGGAUGACGUCAAGUCCUCAUGGCCCUUACGUGUUGGGCUACACACGUGCUACAAUGGUAUCUACAACAGGAAGCAAAAUCGCGAGGUUAAGCAAAUCCUUAAAAGAUACCUCAGUUCGGAUUGCACUCUGCAACUCGAGUGCAUGAAGCUGGAAUUACUAGUAAUCGUGGAUCAGCGUGCCACGGUGAAUGCGUUCCCGGGUCUU
RNAcentral lists this ribosomal RNA (853 nucleotides) under uncultured Alphaproteobacteria bacterium. RNAcentral's name for it is "bacterial SSU rRNA". It matches the Rfam family "Bacterial small subunit ribosomal RNA", at positions 528 to 1382 of the family's 1533-position model. The record is from RNAcentral. Lineage: Bacteria; Pseudomonadati; Pseudomonadota; Alphaproteobacteria.